Molecule: long non-coding RNA, 230 nt
Filed under: Lathyrus oleraceus (garden pea)
Lineage: Eukaryota; Viridiplantae; Streptophyta; Magnoliopsida; Fabales; Fabaceae
Description: Pisum sativum (pea) long non-coding RNA (PSAT_LNC007316)
Source: RNAcentral
AUAUAUGCCACCUCAAUUAAUGAGGGAGAUCUGAUGGCUCUUAUUUUUUUAUUUAUAUUUUAUUUUCUGAUUUUUCAUUUAAUCCUUUUAUUUUAAUUAAUUCAUAUCAAUUUCAUUUUUAAUCCAAAAAAUAUGGGACUUUCACAAAAAAAAUCAAAUAUUUUCCUCUUUCAUUUUAUCAAUUAAAAUUAUUUUUUGGAUUAAUUUUGAUAUUUUUCAUGAUUUAAUUG